Molecule: ribosomal RNA, 855 nt
Filed under: Mycobacterium avium subsp. avium
Lineage: Bacteria; Bacillati; Actinomycetota; Actinomycetes; Mycobacteriales; Mycobacteriaceae
Description: bacterial SSU rRNA
Rfam family: Bacterial small subunit ribosomal RNA
Source: RNAcentral
CUGGCGGCGUGCUUAACACAUGCAAGUCGAACGGAAAGGCCUCUUCGGAGGUACUCGAGUGGCGAACGGGUGAGUAACACGUGGGCAAUCUGCCCUGCACUUCGGGAUAAGCCUGGGAAACUGGGUCUAAUACCGGAUAGGACCUCAAGACGCAUGUCUUCUGGUGGAAAGCUUUUGCGGUGUGGGAUGGGCCCGCGGCCUAUCAGCUUGUUGGUGGGGUGACGGCCUACCAAGGCGACGACGGGUAGCCGGCCUGAGAGGGUGUCCGGCCACACUGGGACUGAGAUACGGCCCAGACUCCUACGGGAGGCAGCAGUGGGGAAUAUUGCACAAUGGGCGCAAGCCUGAUGCAGCGACGCCGCGUGGGGGAUGACGGCCUUCGGGUUGUAAACCUCUUUCACCAUCGACGAAGGUCCGGGUUUUCUCGGAUUGACGGUAGGUGGAGAAGAAGCACCGGCCAACUACGUGCCAGCAGCCGCGGUAAUACGUAGGGUGCGAGCGUUGUCCGGAAUUACUGGGCGUAAAGAGCUCGUAGGUGGUUUGUCGCGUUGUUCGUGAAAUCUCACGGCUUAACUGUGAGCGUGCGGGCGAUACGGGCAGACUAGAGUACUGCAGGGGAGACUGGAAUUCCUGGUGUAGCGGUGGAAUGCGCAGAUAUCAGGAGGAACACCGGUGGCGAAGGCGGGUCUCUGGGCAGUAACUGACGCUGAGGAGCGAAAGCGUGGGGAGCGAACAGGAUUAGAUACCCUGGUAGUCCACGCCGUAAACGGUGGGUACUAGGUGUGGGUUUCCUUCCUUGGGAUCCGUGCCGUAGCUAACGCAUUAAGUACCCCGCCUGGGGAGUACGGCCGCAAG